This is a long non-coding RNA of Pseudoliparis swirei, 5040 nucleotides long. RefSeq lists it as uncharacterized. Lineage: Eukaryota; Metazoa; Chordata; Actinopteri; Perciformes; Liparidae. The transcript has 2 exons. The record is from RefSeq and is a predicted model, not a curated record.
UUGUAAUAGUUUAUUUUGAUAACAUCUGCAGAGGUCUUAUGGUUUAAAUUAAUACAUAUAGAAAGAUAUUAUAAUAGACAAUAUUAAGGAGAAUAUUGAUAUUGUUAUUAAUGUAUUAUGAAGCAUAGGGGUAAUGUUUACUCUAUGCAAAUGUAAAUGGCAAGAAUUAAUGUACUGCAUGAGAGUGACUGUUAGUAUUAUAGAUUGACGAAGCCGGUUGAAAUCCGUGACGUGACUUACAAUAACAAGAGACUUUUAUUGUGAAGGUGACUUUAAUUGACCGGACUCUUAUUGUGAAAAUACCGGAAGUGAGGUUUGACCGGAAACAGGAAGAGUAUAAGACGGCGUGUUUUUGUAGGGAACGUUCUCUUUUUCAGGUAAGCUGGACCCAGGUGGGUGUGCUCCCGUGAGCUCCCGGAGGAGCCGAGAGCAGGGACACGAGGAGAGCGCCUCGAAUGAUUGUUUUACACUUCUUGCCAUUAAAUGUUGAUAACUUAAUCCAUGCGCGUCCGGAAGCCUGUUUUUCCACCAUCUGCGUAGUGCCCCAGUUUUGAGAAUACCUUACAAUUUGGAAACCACGGAAGGCGAAACUGAGAUGGGCCGCCAGAGUUACGGGACUAAGGACACGUUCAUGCGGUGAGUAGCUCGCGCUAAGCUAUCGAACUAUUUAUGCCGUCAGAACAGGACGGGGCACAAGCCCGCCGGAGAGUUUAACAAGCAAUCGACGCUGUGUGUGUGUGUGUUUUAUGUGUUUUUCCCAAUCGCCUUUUGCAUGAUUCUGCGCGUUUAGUGGCAUUUACGCGGGCAAGUCGGCCACGUUUGGCCCGCGUGGUUGAUCGAACGCUUCGUGUCACGGAUGAGUAGUCGUGUGUGUUUGUUCCAGUGCGUCUGCAUGUUCUGCGCGUUUAGUGGCAUUUACGCGUGAAAGUCGCCCACGUGUGGGCCGUGUGGUCGAUCGAGCGCUUCGUGUUACUGAUGUGAAGUCGUGUGUAAGAUUGGGUGUGUUUGUGUCUUUCUGUAGUGCGUUUGCACGGAUGGCUGUCUCACGCUUUUCACGUGUAGUCUCUUUUCUGUUCCUUGUGUUGUAGAGAUUUUUCCACUCUCUCUUCACGGUUUUCCACGUGUUAUCUUGUGUGUGUUUUGUGUGUGUGUGGCCUUGUGUGAGUGGCCACGUGUGAGGCCAUGUCGAGUGUGUGGCCUGUGUACUCCACACCAGGUGUGUCGCUGCUGCAACAGCGUUGUGUAUUUAUUAGUUACAUGUUUUUGUCAUAUUGUGCGUUCCUCGUUGUUCGUUUUGUCUUGUGAGUUUCACGUUUUGUAGAAGAGCUGUGGCUCAAUGAUGUGCCUGGAAGCCAGGAGUGCUUGGCACAUAGUAAAUUUGACAAAGACGACGCGGGGUCUCUCUAAGAGCACGUUAGAAAACUAAUAUAAACAUCCGUAAACUAGCGCACGGCGGCGAACGACGCUGUUACGAGAUUAAAGUUACAUACGUAAGCUGGUGUACGUCGGCGCACUGCACAGUUACAAGAUCAUUGUCCCACAAAACUCAGUUGGGUGGCCCGUGUAAGUUGGUAAUGUACGUUAGACCCUUGUUUAACAUGUCCGGCAUUGACAAUAUUCACUAAAGGGGAUCCUUCUUAUAAAUACGGCGUGUUUUUGUUUUAUGUUUGUCCUGUGUUAAAUCCACCAUUUUGAGUUAGAUGAGAGCAAGGGACAUUUGGUCCUUUGUUCACCCACAUGGUCGUUUGGGGGUUGAAUACAUUUACAUAAGUUAGGACGCCAUUCCUCGUUGUUUAGCUGGUUAAUGUGCGUUUGACCCUUGUCUAACAUGUCCGCCAUUGACAGCAUUCAUUUGCUGCAGCUUUAUGUGGUGUGAGGGUUUUUGUUAGUGGGCGUUUGACCCUUGUUUGACAUGUCCGCCAUUGACGGAAUUCUUACAUUGCUGCAGCAUUUGUUUCGACGAGGUGUGAGAGGGUGCGUUAUGUAUUUUGUGUGCUGUAUUCACCCCAAUUUGCAUUUUUUUCCCCUACUGCACUGCAUCCACAAUUAGACACAUAGUGUAGAAUAAAAUAGGAUUUUUCUGUGCUCUACAUUUACAUUUCCCUACAUAUAUUAAGCCUCAGUACCUGAUCCCCCUUAACAAGCAAGAAGUUGACUGCAACAUGCAUCCACCUGGGUUUCCUGAAUCAAAGGUUGUUUCAGAAAAAGGAGGGAUGGGAGAUGCAGAGACAGUUGUGGCGUUCGAGGAGUGAUCAGGUCUGACUGGCACACAGUUUUGCAACCAAACACUUAACACAUUCAGAAACAAGCACCUACAUGAAGAAAUAUAUCUAGAGAACACAUUCACAGGAGCAGACUAUCGCCCAGGGAGGGGAUAGCAGAGUUCAUGGCGUGGCUUUGGAGAUUAUUUGAGGAAUGAACUAACCAGAGUUAAGUUUUUUCUUUGAGCAGGUUACCGGAGCCCACCAGGAGCCAGUGGACUAAGUCCAGGCGAAUGGGGUGCUCUGGGGUCAUUGCAAGGACCUCAGAGUGCCCUCGAUCUGUUUUAGGGUUCGAGCACGAGAAAGGAGGGUGCUGGACGAAUACCUGCCUGCUAUCAGAUCCUAGUAGGAUUUGAAUAUUUCUAUGCCCUAGUCAAGGGCCAUAGAUAGGAUCAAUUACAUUUAUCAUAACCAGUAAAGAUAAAUACUUAUUUAAAUAUAGAAAUUAUGAUAUAGACAAUUUUUCAUAGUCAAGUGUCACAUUCUGUAUAGAGCUGGCCUAGUGGCCGCUGUGUUGUGUUGUGUUUUCUCAUUUUCUCCAACAGCUACACCUGACGCUCCAGCAUCGACCUCCAUCGUGUGCUGACUGCCUGCUGUGAAGACCUGCCAUGAGGAGCUGCCCACAGGAGCAUCGGACACCAUCAUCACCCGGCUCAGAGAGACUGAGGAGCAGACGGAGCCAUCCUGAGGAAGAAGAACAGAUGACAUCAUGUGGAUAUGCAAAUCCACCGACGGACGGCGCAGCCAGUGAAAACCAUGAGGAAUAAUAUCUCCCCAGGGGCUGGGACGCCCGGGAGGUUUGAGACAGGCUCCAGAGAGACAAGGCUUUUCCGACCUUUUGGAUGACGGCAGAGAACCACGGCAUGCAGGUAGCUGCAUGUAGGCCGAGAUCCUUGAGAAGUCCUCAGCUGAGAUUUAGUGAGUGUGAAUUGCUGGUAGACAGUUAACUGCUUGCAGUCUGUGGACGCAGUAGUUCAUGCUCCCUCAGCUGAGUGGGACGAUCACAACCAUCAUUGACAAUCUGCUUGGAGGAACUGGAGUUGCAGAGCAUGUAUGCGGAGGGACUGGAUUCACAGGGAAGCACAGACACUUAGACAGUGCACACGUUACAUCAACCGGAGCCAUCAGGACAGCAAGAUUUUUCACCUGUGUGAUGAAUACAUUCACACUGACACUUAGUGUUAUUUAGUUUCCUUGAGAAGCAGGGAUGCAAGGAGGGAGUGAUGUUCUUCUUCCACAGGAUGCUGAAUGAUAAUGAGUGAUAAUUAAAAUGUUGUACAAUGUUUGUUUACAUAGAGGGUCAAAAUAAAAGGGCUAUUACUGGGUUGUUUAUACUAUUGGAUAAGUAUAAAAGGAGGGAUUGUUAAGUUGUAAUAGUUUAUUUUGAUAACAUCUGCAGAGGUCUUAUGGUUUAAAUUAAUACAUAUAGAAAGAUAUUAUAAUAGACAAUAUUAAGGAGAAUAUUGAUAUUGUUAUUAAUGUAUUAUGAAGCAUAGGGGUAAUGUUUACUCUAUGCAAAUGUAAAUGGCAAGAAUUAAUGUACUGCAUGAGAGUGACUGUUAGUAUUAUAGAUUGACGAAGCCGGUUGAAAUCCGUGACGUGACUUACAAUAACAAGAGACUUUUAUUGUGAAGGUGACUUUAAUUGACCGGACUCUUAUUGUGAAAAUACCGGAAGUGAGGUUUGACCGGAAACAGGAAGAGUAUAAGACGGCGUGUUUUUGUAGGGAACGUUCUCUUUUUCAGGUAAGCUGGACCCAGGUGGGUGUGCUCCCGUGAGCUCCCGGAGGAGCCGAGAGCAGGGACACGAGGAGAGCGCCUCGAAUGAUUGUUUUACACUUCUUGCCAUUAAAUGUUGAUAACUUAAUCCAUGCGCGUCCGGAAGCCUGUUUUUCCACCAUCUGCGUAGUGCCCCAGUUUUGAGAAUACCUUACAUCACCAACAGCUGAGGCCAAUCAGUCGCUAUCCAAAAUAAAAUACAUUCAGAAACAUAUUGUUCCUCAUUCUGUAAAAAAAUGUUUUCUUCCUGACUGGAAGAUCGACGUCAGAAAAGAUCUCCGCCUGAUUCAUGAACGCCUGAAAACGGGUUCUCUUACACAGCCGUGUUCUCAGACGUGCUCCCAGAAAGAGGGGAAUGCAGUUCACAGUGGUACUACAGAAACAGAUCACUUGCAGCAAGGGAUCCCUUCCCUCGAUAUGGAGAGACCCCAUUCAUGCGAAUUGGGGCCGGAAAGGAAGUUCACACCUGGCUCGGAGAGACUGAGUAGCAGACGGAGAGGCAUCCUGAGGACCCCUGCGAUGCCAUUCAGAGCGGGGGACGGAACGACUCAGAGGAAGAGGGACAGAUGACUUCAAGUGUCAAGGGGCGUGGACACGCUUUCAACACCGACGGACAGACGGCUCAGCCAAUGAGUGGAUUAGGACUAAUGUUUUACCUAGACAGGUUAACCAAUGAGAAGUGAAUAUCUCCCCUGGGGCCGGGACACCCGGGAGGUAUAAAAACAGAUGUUGACCAGAAAGACAAGGCUUUUUGACCUUUGGAUGAUGGAGGAGAUGCACUGCAUGCAGGUUAGCUGCAUGUAGGCCGUUGAUCCUGUGAGAAGCCCUCAGCUGAGGAUUAGAUUUAGUGAGCUUGACUCACUGUUAGACAGUUAACUGCUUUGGCGGUCUGUGGACAGUGAUUUAUGCUCCCUCAGCUGAGUUAUACUCUGUAUCUGAACAGUUAUUAGUUAUUAUCAACGAUUGGUAAUACUUUUUAUUAAAUACAUUUUAUUAGAACU